RNAcentral lists this long non-coding RNA (1026 nucleotides) under Cricetulus griseus (Chinese hamster). RNAcentral's name for it is "lncRNA (ENSCGRG00015038605.1)". Lineage: Eukaryota; Metazoa; Chordata; Mammalia; Rodentia; Cricetidae. The record is from RNAcentral.
AGCAGGUCAGGGUUGUUCCCCGUCAGAAGGAUGGCUUGACCUCAAGUCUUUGCAUUCAUCUGUUAGCCAGGGGGUAGGAGAGAAGGCUGGUGAAGCCCAGGCUUGUCCCUUCCCACAACGAGUUGAAGAGACACAUCACCUCUGCUUAGGUGGAGUCCCUCGUUCAAGUCUUUGUCACAGGACCUGAGUUGACAGGACGGCCCCGGAAAACCACUUGAUUGAGACCUGGAGAAGGAAUUGUGACCAAGGGAGUCUACGUGUCAUCACGUCUGAGCUGAAGAGAGAUGCUGCUGACGACUGGCCACUGACAAUCAUGGCAGGGAUUUGAUGAAACCUCCUCAUGGACGGACCCCUCUGUAUGUGGUGGAACGAAGGAGGGGUUUUGAAGCUAGACCAGGUUAAGCUCUCAGCAAGACUGUAUAGUGGCUGUGUGACCAUGAACAAGGUGUUCCAUACCCAGCUUCUCCAUGGCUUCAUGUGUGAAGCAGAGAGGCCCAACGGACUCCUGUACCUGAGACAAAACUAAGCUUCAACCACAGCAUGUACCAUGGGCGGGCCCUGGAGCACCUGCUUCACAUUUGGUGGAAGACACAGGACCAGAGUUUGUAAAGCACAGAGGCCCAGGAGAUGGGUUUGGAGCCCAGGCCUCAUGGCUGACUGGGCCUGCUCCCCUCUGCAGGCCUACAUCCCUCCAGGAUAGGAGCAGGAUGCUCAGUCCUGGCUGUGUUACAGGUGUGGUCAUGUAAUCUUUGGCAGUCAGGUGUGAACAGAAGAGACCCGUGUCUUCUAGAAGAGGCCUUUAAGAAAUAGGUGGGCUUUCUCUUGACUCUUUUUCUCUGUAUUUUGGGCUCAGGGGUCUUUGAGACCAUGUCAGGCUCACAAGAUGUGAGGAAUCUGGGGCCCAGAUCACCAUGUGGGAGAAAGCCAAUGGCUUCCCUGGGAAGCCACAGUAACGUGGACAGACAAGCUAACUGCCAGUGGAUGGCUGACCACUGAAAUGUUGGGGUCAAUUCUUAAACCAACUAG